RNAcentral lists this ribosomal RNA (403 nucleotides) under Clostridioides difficile. RNAcentral's name for it is "bacterial SSU rRNA". It matches the Rfam family "Bacterial small subunit ribosomal RNA", at positions 416 to 841 of the family's 1533-position model. The record is from RNAcentral. Lineage: Bacteria; Bacillati; Bacillota; Clostridia; Peptostreptococcales; Peptostreptococcaceae.
CUUCGGGUCGUAAAACUCUGUCCUCAAGGAUGAUAAUGACGGUACUUGAGGAGGAAGCCCCGGCUAACUACGUGCCAGCAGCCGCGGUAAUACGGAGGGGGCUAGCGUUAUCCGGAUUUACUGGGCGUAAAGGGUGCGUAGGCGGUCUUUCAAGUCAGGAGUGAAAGGCUACGGCUCAACCGUAGUAAGCUCUUGAAACUGGGAGACUUGAGUGCAGGAGAGGAGAGUGGAAUUCCUAGUGUAGCGGUGAAAUGCGUAGAUAUUAGGAGGAACACCAGUUGCGAAGGCGGCUCUCUGGACUGUAACUGACGCUGAGGCACGAAAGCGUGGGGAGCAAACAGGAUUAGAUACCCUGGUAGUCCACGCUGUAAACGAUGAGUACUAGGUGUCGGGGGUUACCCCC